CCUUUCCGUAGGUGAACCUGCGGAAGGAUCAUUACCGAGUGCGGGCCCUCGCGGCCCAACCUCCCACCCUUGUCUCUAUACACCUGUUGCUUUGGCGGGCCCACCGGGGCCACCUGGUCGCCGGGGGACGCACGUCUCCGGGCCCGCGCCCGCCGAAGCGCUCUGUGAACCCUGAUGAAGAUGGGCUGUCUGAGUACUGUGAAAAUUGUCAAAACUUUCAACAAUGGAUCUCUUGGUUCCGGCAUCGAUGAAGAACGCAGCGAAAUGCGAUAAGUAAUGUGAAUUGCAGAAUUCCGUGAAUCAUCGAAUCUUUGAACGCACAUUGCGCCCCCUGGCAUUCCGGGGGGCAUGCCUGUCCGAGCGUCAUUUCUGCCCUCAAGCACGGCUUGUGUGUUGGGUGUGGUCCCCCCGGGGACCUGCCCGAAAGGCAGCGGCGACGUCCGUCUGGUCCUCGAGCGUAUGGGGCUCUGUCACUCGCUUCGGGAAAGGAACCUGCGGGGGUUUGGUUCACCCACCCAUGUUUUUACCCACGGUUGACCUCGGAACAGGUAGGAGUGAACGUGA
RNAcentral lists this ribosomal RNA (564 nucleotides) under Penicillium sp. ASR-146. RNAcentral's name for it is "eukaryotic LSU rRNA". The stretch from base 213 to 366 matches the Rfam family "5.8S ribosomal RNA". Lineage: Eukaryota; Fungi; Ascomycota; Eurotiomycetes; Eurotiales; Aspergillaceae. The record is from RNAcentral.